RNAcentral lists this ribosomal RNA (885 nucleotides) under Bacillus sp. enrichment culture clone DWSRK115. Its description in RNAcentral is "bacterial SSU rRNA". It matches the Rfam family "Bacterial small subunit ribosomal RNA", at positions 38 to 897 of the family's 1533-position model. The record is from RNAcentral. Lineage: Bacteria; Bacillati; Bacillota; Bacilli; Caryophanales; Bacillaceae.
GGGGGGGGGCCUAAUCAUGCCAGUCGAGCGGAAGAUGGGAGCUUGCUCCCUGUAUGUUAGCGGCGGACGGGUGAGUAACACGUGAGUAACCUGCCUGUAAGACGGGGAUAACUCCGGGAAACCGGGGCUAAUACCGGAUGGUUGUUUGAACCGCAUGGUUCACACAUAAAAGGUGGCUUCGGCUACCACUUACGGAUGGACCCGCGGCGCAUUAGCUAGUUGGUGAGGUAACGGCUCACCAAGGCCACGAUGCGUACCCAACCUGAGAGGGUGAUCAGCCACACUGGGACUGAGACACGGCCCAAACUCCUACGGGAGGCAGCGGAAGGGAAUCUUCCGCAAUGGACGAAAUUCUGACAGAGCAACGCCACGAGAGUGAUGAAGGUUUUCAGAUCUUAUAGCUCUGUUGUUAGGGAAGAACAAGUGCCGCUCAGAUGGGGCUGCACCUUGACGGUACCUAACCAAAAAGCCACGGCUAACUACGUGCCAUCAGCCGCGGUAAUACGUAAGUGGCAAGCGUUGUCCGGAAUUAUUGGGCGUAAAGGGCUCGCAGGCGGUUUCUUAAGUCUGAUGUGAAAGACCCCGGCUCAACCGGGGAGGGUCAUUGGAAACUGGGGAACUUGAGUGCAGAAGAUGAGAGUGAAAUUCCACGUGUACCGGUGAAAUGCGUAAAGAUGUGGAGGAACACCAGUGGCGAAGGCGACUCUCUGGUCUGUAACUGACGCUGAGGAGCGAAAGCGUGGAGAGCGAACAGAGAUUAUAUACCCUCGAUACUCCACGCCGUACACGAUGAGUGCUAAGUGUUAUGUGGGUUUGCAGCCCUUUCGUGCUGCAGCUAACGCAUUGAAGCACUGCGGCUGCGCGAGCUACGAGUCGCAAGACUGA